Long non-coding RNA from Triticum aestivum (bread wheat), 196 nucleotides. RefSeq lists it as uncharacterized. The record is from RefSeq and is a predicted model, not a curated record. Lineage: Eukaryota; Viridiplantae; Streptophyta; Magnoliopsida; Poales; Poaceae. The transcript is spliced from 3 exons.
AAGCCCCAAAGCCGCCGGCGCCGCCUGAACGCAUCUGAACCAAUAGAUCAAAACGUUCCACAUAUAUGUUGUUGAGAAAGUUGCACAGCAUCUUGGUAUGGAUGAUCCUUCAAAACUUCGCCUUACAAAGCACAUCCCGCAUUUACAGCAACCAGAUGUCUGACAUUUUUUAUUAUGAGACACUGACAUUCCUUUG